GACGAACGCUGGCGGCGUGCUUAACACAUGCAAGUCGAACGGAAAGGCCCUGCUUUUGUGGGGUGCUCGAGUGGCGAACGGGUGAGUAACACGUGAGUAACCUGCCCUUGACUUUGGGAUAACUUCAGGAAACUGGGGCUAAUACCGGAUAGGAGCUCCUGCUGCAUGGUGGGGGUUGGAAAGUUUCGGCGGUUGGGGAUGGACUCGCGGCUUAUCAGCUUGUUGGUGGGGUAGUGGUUUACCAAGGCUUUGACGGGUAGCCGGCCUGAGAGGGUGUCCGGCCACAUUGGGACUGAGAUACGGCCCAGACUCCUACGGGAGGCAGCAGUGGGGAAUAUUGCACAAUGGGCGGAAGCCUGAUGCAGCAACGCCGCGUGCGGGAUGACGGCCUUCGGGUUGUAAACCGCUUUCGCCUGUGACGAAGCGUGAGUGACGGUAAUGGGUAAAGAAGCACCGGCUAACUACGUG
Molecule: ribosomal RNA, 468 nt
Filed under: uncultured bacterium
Lineage: Bacteria
Description: partial 16S ribosomal RNA
Rfam family: Bacterial small subunit ribosomal RNA
Source: RNAcentral